UACAGAGGGGGCAAGCGUUGUUCGGAAUUACUGGGCGUAAAGGGCGCGUAGGUGGCCUUCUAAGUUGAACGUGAAAUCCCUCGGCUUAACCGGGGAACUGCGUCCGAUACUGGUUGGCUUGAGUUUGGGAGAGGGAUGCGGAAUUCCAGGUGUAGCGGUGAAAUGCGUAGAUAUCUGGAGGAACACCGGUGGCGAAGGCGGCAUCCUGGACCAAUACUGACGCUGAGGAGCGAAAGCCAGGGGAGCAAACGGG
This 253-nucleotide ribosomal RNA is filed under the name uncultured bacterium. RNAcentral describes it as "partial 16S ribosomal RNA". It matches the Rfam family "Bacterial small subunit ribosomal RNA", at positions 524 to 776 of the family's 1533-position model. The record is from RNAcentral.